UUAAUUGGGGACUCUAGCGAGACUGCCAGUGAUAAACUGGAGGAAGUGGGGAUGACGUCAAAUCAUCAUGCCCCUUAUGACCUGGGCUACAAACGUGAUACAAUGGCUGGAACAAAGGGAGGCGAAGGGGUGACCUGGAGCGAAACUCAAAAAAACAGUCUCAGUUCGGAUUGAAGUCUGCAACUCGACUUCAUGAAGUCGGAAUCGCUAGUAAUCGCGGAUCAGAACGCCGCGGUGAAUACGUUCUCGGGGUUU
This 255-nucleotide ribosomal RNA is filed under the name uncultured Acholeplasma sp. RNAcentral describes it as "partial 16S ribosomal RNA". It matches the Rfam family "Bacterial small subunit ribosomal RNA", at positions 1127 to 1382 of the family's 1533-position model. The record is from RNAcentral. Lineage: Bacteria; Bacillati; Mycoplasmatota; Mollicutes; Acholeplasmatales; Acholeplasmataceae.